AAGUCGUAACAAGGUCUCCGUAGGUGAACCUGCGGAAGGAUCAUUACAGAGUUCAUGCCCCUCGGGGUAGAUCUCCCACCCUUGUGUAUCAUUAUUGAACGUUGCUUUGGCGGGCCGCGCCUCGUGCGCCUAGAUUCGCGUCUAGCGUGCCCGCCAGAGGACCCCUAAACUCUGAAUGUUAGUGUCGUCUGAGUACUAUUAAAUAGUUAAAACUUUCAACAACGGAUCUCUUGGUUCUG
RNAcentral lists this unclassified non-coding RNA (239 nucleotides) under Helotiales sp. Its description in RNAcentral is "partial contains small subunit ribosomal RNA, internal transcribed spacer 1, and 5.8S ribosomal RNA". The stretch from base 1 to 46 matches the Rfam family "Eukaryotic small subunit ribosomal RNA", at positions 1786 to 1831 of the family's 1831-position model. Lineage: Eukaryota; Fungi; Ascomycota; Leotiomycetes; Helotiales. The record is from RNAcentral.